UUUAGGCUCAUCCAAAGAUGCAGUUCCAGAUCUCAUUCCUCCAGGAACCAAUAAAUACUAUGCUUCUGCAUCCAACCCUGUUUAUAUGAAAGAACUGAAUAUUGAUCUAACAGAAGACUCAAUGAGUCGGAAUUCUAUUGAUGAUAACGAAGUUGGUGACAAGAAGGCCGCUGACUCUUCAAAGCCGGAAGAACAAGAAAUUGCUAUCACACUAUAUGAAGAAAACACAUAUAGUUUUAAAGAUGCCAAUCGUAGUUCAGCUUUAGAUUUAGUUUUACAACAAUAUGAAGAAUCUACAAAAGCUAAGAAGGGUGCUAAUUCUCUAAAUUCAAUAUCCGCCAGUGAUUUUUCCAAUAUUGA
Long non-coding RNA from Patella vulgata (common limpet), 360 nucleotides. RefSeq lists it as uncharacterized. The transcript has 3 exons. NCBI's taxonomy places the organism in Eukaryota, Metazoa, Mollusca, Gastropoda, Patellidae. The record is from RefSeq and is a predicted model, not a curated record.